RNAcentral lists this ribosomal RNA (493 nucleotides) under Parastratocles fuscomarginatus. RNAcentral's name for it is "partial large subunit ribosomal RNA". It matches the Rfam family "Bacterial large subunit ribosomal RNA", at positions 1854 to 2609 of the family's 2925-position model. Lineage: Eukaryota; Metazoa; Arthropoda; Insecta; Phasmatodea; Pseudophasmatidae. The record is from RNAcentral.
UGACCUGCCCAAUGAUGGUAUUUAAUGGCCGCGGUAUUCUGACCGUGCAAAGGUAGCAUAAUCAUUAGUUUAUUAAUUGUGGACUUGUAUGAAUGGUUGGACGAAAUAUUGACUGUCUCAUAUUUAUUUAUUGAAUUUAAUUUUUUAGUUAAAAAGCUUAAAUUUUAUUGUAAGACGAGAAGACCCUAUAGAUCUUUAUUUUUAUUAUUUAUUAUUUAUUUAGUUUAUUUUUAAUGAUUUUUAAUAAAUUUUUUGUUGGGGUGACAUGAGGAUAUAAUUAACUCCUUAUUUGUUUUAUACAUUUAUUUUUGAUUUUUUGACCUUUUAUUAUUGUUUUAAGAUAUAGAUACCUUAGGGAUAACAGCGUAAUUUUUUUUGAGAGUUCAUAUCGACAAUAAAGAUUGCGACCUCGAUGUUGGAUUAAGAUUAAUUUAAGGUGUAGGUGCUUUAGUUAUUAGGUCUGUUCGACCUUUAAAUUCUUACAUGAUCUGAG